GAUGAACGCUGGCGGCGUGCCUAAUACAUGCAAGUCGAGCGAACAGACGAGGAGCUUGCUCCUUUGACGUUAGCGGCGGACGGGUGAGUAACACGUGGGUAGCCUACCUAUAAGACUGGGAUAACUUCGGGAAACCGGAGCUAAUACCGGAUAAUAUUUCGAACCGCAUGGUUCGAUAGUGAAAGAUGGCUCUGCUAUCACUUAUAGAUGGACCUGCGCCGUAUUAGCUAGUUGGUAAGGUAACGGCUUACCAAGGCAACGAUACGUAGCCGACCUGAGAGGGUGAUCGGCCACACUGGAACUGAGACACGGUCCAGACUCCUACGGGAGGCAGCAGUAGGGAAUCUUCCGCAAUGGGCGAAAGCCUGACGGAGCAACGCCGCGUGAGUGAUGAAGGUCUUCGGAUCGUAAAACUCUGUUAUUAGGGAAGAACAAACGUGUAAGUAACUGUGCACGUCUUGACGGUACCUAAUCAGAAAGCCACGGCUAACUACGUG
Molecule: ribosomal RNA, 497 nt
Filed under: uncultured bacterium
Lineage: Bacteria
Description: partial 16S ribosomal RNA
Rfam family: Bacterial small subunit ribosomal RNA
Source: RNAcentral